RNAcentral lists this ribosomal RNA (647 nucleotides) under bacterium SCSIO13068. Its description in RNAcentral is "bacterial SSU rRNA". It matches the Rfam family "Bacterial small subunit ribosomal RNA", at positions 61 to 703 of the family's 1533-position model. The record is from RNAcentral.
GUCGAGGGGUAACAGGAAGUGCUUGCACUUUGCUGACGACCGGCGCACGGGUGCGUAACGCGUAUGCAAUCUACCUUUUACUGAGGGAUAGCCCAUGGAAACGUGGAUUAACACCUCAUGGUAUUUUAAAUUGGCAUCAAUUUAAGAUUAAAGGUUACGGUAAGAGAUGAGCAUGCGUCCUAUUAGCUAGAUGGUAAGGUAACGGCUUACCAUGGCAACGAUAGGUAGGGGUCCUGAGAGGGAGAUCCCCCACACUGGUACUGAGACACGGACCAGACUCCUACGGGAGGCAGCAGUGAGGAAUAUUGGACAAUGGGCGAGAGCCUGAUCCAGCCAUGCCGCGUGCAGGAAGACUGCCCUAUGGGUUGUAAACUGCUUUUGUAUAGGAAGAAACCUUUCCUCGUGAGGAAAAUUGACGGUACUAUACGAAUAAGGAUCGGCUAACUCCGUGCCAGCAGCCGCGGUAAUACGGAGGAUCCAAGCGUUAUCCGGAAUCAUUGGGUUUAAAGGGUCCGUAGGCGGGUUUAUAAGUCAGUGGUGAAAGUCUGCAGCUUAACUGUAGAACUGCCAUUGAUACUGUAGAUCUUGAAUCAUUAUGAAGUGGUUAGAAUGUGUAGUGUAGCGGUGAAAUGCAUAGAUAUUACACA